AUGAACGCUGGCGGCGUGGAUAAGGCAUGCAAGUCGAACGGUCCCGCCAUCCAUAUAGCAAUAUAAGGAAGGCAGGAUAGUGGCAAACGGGUUAGUAACACGUAGGUAACUUUCCUCGGAGUCUUGAAUAAUUCCGCGAAAGCGGGACUAAUACAAGAUGGCAAUGAGGGGGCAUAAGCCAUUCUCAUUUAAAGAUUUAUCGCUCCAAGAAAGGCCUGCGUCCUAUCAGUUAGUUGGUGAGGUAAUGGCUCACCAAGGCAAUGACGGGUAGCGGUUCUGAGAGGAUGAUCCGCCACACUGGUACUGAGACACGGACCAGACUCCUACGGGAGGCAGCAGUGAGGAAUAUUGCACAAUGGGGGGAACCCUGAUGCAGCAACGCCGCGUGGAGGAUGACGCAUUUCGGUGUGUAAACUCCUUUUAUAUGUCAAGAAAAUGACGGUAGCAUAUGAAUAAGCACCGGCUAACUCCGU
RNAcentral lists this ribosomal RNA (473 nucleotides) under uncultured bacterium. RNAcentral's name for it is "bacterial SSU rRNA". It matches the Rfam family "Bacterial small subunit ribosomal RNA", at positions 29 to 506 of the family's 1533-position model. The record is from RNAcentral.